This 372-nucleotide ribosomal RNA is filed under the name uncultured bacterium. RNAcentral's name for it is "bacterial SSU rRNA". It matches the Rfam family "Bacterial small subunit ribosomal RNA", at positions 524 to 898 of the family's 1533-position model. The record is from RNAcentral.
UACGGAGGGUGCAAGCGUUAUCCGGAUUUACUGGGUUUAAAGGGUGUGUAGGCGGGCUUUUAAGUCAGUGGUGAAAUCUCCGGGCUCAACCUGGAAACUGCCAUUGAUACUAUUAGUCUUGAAUUUUGUUGAGGUAGGCGGAAUAAGUCAUGUAGCGGUGAAAUGCAUAGAUAUGACUUAGAACACCAAUUGCGAAGGCAGCUUGCUAAACAAAUAUUGACGCUGAGGCACGAAAGCGUGGGGAUCAAACAGGAUUAGAUACCCUGGUAGUCCACGCCCUAAACGAUGAUUACUCGACAUACGCGAUACACAGUGUGUGUCUGAGCGAAAGCAUUAAGUAAUCCACCUGGGAAGUACGACCGCAAGGUUGAA